AUUUGUCAGCUUUGAGAAUAAUAUUCAAUUCAUGAAGUUUUAUUAAGCAAUUUUCUAGUUUUAACGGGAUUCACUAAUAGGAUUUACUAAUAUCCUUGAUUCCAGAAUAUCGUCAGUUACUACUUUGUUUAAGCUCCGAUAUCUCACUUGUUUGUUUCAAGCCGACUGCGAAAGAUGACUAAUGCCCUUGUCGUUUCUCCAAAAUUAGCCCACUGAAGAACUGCCGACACAAAGAAGACCCAUAAUAGGUCCUUCGUAUUUGUUACAAUUGACUGCUUUUGAAAAAGGUCACGCACUCUCGUUUACAGAAGGAUCAAUAAUUCAAAUUGCAAAUCCAAGUUAGUUCGAUUUGGGGGAUUUUAGUUGAAGGGAAUGGAUUUGUUUUAUUAAAAUUCCCGAGUAUCAUGAUUUAAUUUCCCAGACCCUGUCUUAUUCAUGUUCGAGCGAAAACACGCACUUGUUUGAAUUUGUGAGCGAGAGAGACACUUAAGCGCUGUCCGGUCAACUCCAAAACAGUUUCAAUGAAAAUUCCUAGAAUUUAUUCUCUGGAAUAGACAGAAAUUAUCCGAAAAAUUUAUUUCCACAAUAAAAAAAAAAAGAAAAAGGUGAGUUUACACUCCAACCGUUCCCGUUGGAGUGUAAACUAAAUAAAGUGUAAUAUACACUUUAUUUUCUUCUCCAACUUUAGA
This is a long non-coding RNA of Nematostella vectensis (starlet sea anemone), 689 nucleotides long. RefSeq lists it as uncharacterized. NCBI's taxonomy places the organism in Eukaryota, Metazoa, Cnidaria, Anthozoa, Actiniaria, Edwardsiidae. The record is from RefSeq and is a predicted model, not a curated record. The transcript has 2 exons.